This 1329-nucleotide long non-coding RNA is filed under the name Homo sapiens (human). RNAcentral describes it as "non-protein coding lnc-SSTR4-2:2". The record is from RNAcentral. Lineage: Eukaryota; Metazoa; Chordata; Mammalia; Primates; Hominidae.
CUGGGGUUCAGUCUGCCGCUGCAAAUACCAAAAGCUGUCCUCAUUGAGUCAUCCCUCCCAGAGCAGGAAGAGCAGAGGUUCUGGGAAACAACCCCAAGGAGAGAGACAGGGCAUUUAUAAAACAGCAUGUAAGCAUCUCUGCAGUUGCUGUCCCCAGAGCCCACUUCCUGGAUAUUGCCAGCUGCCUGGACCAACCUUUCCGAAAGAUCAGCCAGGUCACAGUGAGGGUCAAAGCAGGAGGCCACUGGAGGCUCCAAGGGCUCUGAAAUGUUGAGAACUUCCCUGCAGGUACCAGCGAAGAGGGCAAGAACACAGCACUACUUCCUUGGAUACUGUUUCCCUCCUCAGAGGGGUUUUCUGAGCUGCCCUGGGUCCUGUGAGGAAGAUCUCCCCUUCCUGUAAAGACACCAGUCCUACUGGAUCAGGGCCCACCCGUGUGACUUCACUUUUACUUGAGUACCUCUCACAGACCCUAACUCCAAAUCAGGUCACUUGCUGAGGUACUGCAUGUGAAGACUUUGACAUUUGAAUUUUGAGGGGGCCACCGUUUAACCUGAACCACCAAGGACAGAGCCAAAGACCCUGGGUGACAGGCCCAGAACAGGACCUGGUGGAGGCUCUUCUUUAGGGGAGAGAGGGAAAUGGGAGCCACCACUGGCAGAGCCUGAAGGCAGGGCAGCCAGAAAGAAGCUGUGGGAGUCCCCACCAUGGAAGACCCUGCCGAGCAUCCUGUGUCUCCUGAAGCAGACCCUGACAUGAGGACUGGGGGCACGUGUUUAUUAAGGGCGAUCCCCGGAAGGAGGAGAUAACCAGGCAGAAGUCCUAGCAGAGUAUGCCCACGCUGGUUAGUGCUGCUGCAAAGAUGAGCCGAAGACCAUGAGAGACCUCCAGGUGGUCCUUCUGGGGAGAAGAAAUGGGUUUUGGCCCCAAAUCCUUCUGCUGCAUUUUUCCCCUAUCCCUGGGAAGCCAUGAGACCUCAAACCUGUGUUCCCAAGGAGGCGAGCUGCUGUUCCCAGGUGAUGAUAUGAUGUGCUUGGGGAAAGUAAGUGGCUGCCAGACAUGGCUGAGAGCUGUUGUCACUGCCGUCAAGUGCAUGUCUCCAAGCCAUAUCACACGGCGUCCCUCGAUGUGAGGCCACAUGGCAAGUGGGCCGUGGAUCUCCCUCUGCCCUUUGCAAGCACGUAAGACAGCAGAUUUUGCAGAUACCUUGUGGCGCAGGGGAAUUUCCUUUGGCCAGGUCUGAAGAAAUAAAGCAGCAGGCACCGAGAACAAAGCCAAGGCUUUCAAAAGACAAGGAGCCAAAAAACUUACUCAAAAUAAAAGUAGUUU